CAGGAGUGCUGUAAAUGUUCUGCUUGGCUAAAGGCUUUUAGCUUUUAUUUCCCAGUGCUAGUAGAGCUUUAAAAAUACUUUUCUUUCAUAAUGAGCUUUUUAGGUGGGAAGGAAGUUGGCUGCCUUAGUCCGUUCUGUGCUGCUAUAAGAGAAUACCUGAGACUGGGUAAUUUAUAAAGCAUAUACACUUAUUCUUCACAGUUCUGGAGGCUGGAAAGUCCAAGAUCAGGCACUGGCAGGUUGGGUGUCUGGCGAGGGCUGCUGUCUGUUUCCAGGAUGGCACCUUGACCGUGACAUCCUCUGGAGGGGAGGAGCACUCUUUGUUGCAUGGCAGAAGAGCUGAAAAAAGCUAAACACUCCUGCCUGCCCUGUUAUGAUGCCACAGGCCCAUGCCUGAGUGGAGCCCUCACCACCUACACACCUCCCAUCUGGCCCCACCUCCCAAAGACUGUUGCACUGGGGAGUAAAUUUCAACAUGAGUUUUGGAGGGGACAAAACAUUCAAUCCACAGUAGUGGCUGCGCAUGUUCAGAUUAUCAAGUUCAGUCUUCUCUGGAGCUGACAUUCUGCGAGAGAGGAUAAACAUGUUGCACUUUUCUGAGGUGAAUACUUGGUUGGCAAUGUGUGUGCUGAACCAGCAACUUCAAAAUUCCUGUUUACCAUAAAACACGGUGUAUAAUUUUACAGGAAAUAUAUUUUAUACCACAAUCCAGUGCUUCCGUUGCCACACAUACAACAGAAGUAAAAUCAUCAUGGAAGAGGAUUUACCUUUGCUCCAUGCAGUACAUUCUGAUGUUUUCCCAUCACUUCUCCUCCACAUCCUAUCCCAACUUGACCUCUCGUCUUCUGUUUAUUCUAUUUUAAAAUAUGAGUUACAACCCAUUAUAUUGAAUUUACAACUCACUAAUGUGUCAGGUUCUGCAAGAUGAAAAAAAGACAUAACUCUCUGAGAAUAUAGCCCCCCAGUGAAGAGGGAAAGGUGGUUUGUCUAAGGCCCCAUGCCUUAGCUUGGAGACCUGUUGAAGCCCUCGCUCCCUGUCUCCUAUCUGCUUUCUGUCCCUGCAGCCUCCUUGCUUCCUCAAAUGUGCAUCCCCUUUGCCACCCGGCCCCACCGCCCAAGCUCUGUAGAUCAAAUGAGGGCCUCUUCUUUUGCAGGUCAAUAACAAGUUUCAAAAAGAGCUUGGAUGUUUUUUCUCCCUAAUGUUGAUUUUUUAGAAUGAGGAGGUUGAAUUUCAUUUAGGGGCGGCAGGACCCAGGAGAACCACCUCUGAGCCCGAGGCUAAUUGAUAUUAGUUGAAGUGGAUCUGUAGAAAAUAACACUCAUGAUGAUAACAGGAAAUAGUAACCAAAGCUCAUGAUGUGUCCGGUAGGGCAUCUUCAUGACAAUUAUUUCAGUAAUAAACCCACUCAGGGUAGAAAGCCUGAGACACAGGGGAACUAAUGGGGUUGAGAAUGCAAGAUCACUGUAAGGUCCUUAAAGCCAAGUGUGGUAAACUCAAGCUCAGCUUCAUUUUUUAAAACUUAAGAUGUUAACAUAGAGCAUUUUAAUGUUUUAUUCUUCCUGUCUUCCUCAGAAGGGAACAUACAAUGAAUAACUGAGAGCCAUUUGAAGUUUGCAUAUUGCUCCUGCUAUUUCUUGGCCUUCCUCACUGCUCGACCUACCUCACCACUGGCCCCUGAUCCCUGAGUCUUCCCGUCACGUUCCAGACUACCUUCCUCCCAGUGUCUCCCCUCUGCACUGUCUUCAUUCCCUCCAGUCUCUGUGUGCAUGCACAGAGGGUUAGAGUGAGGAGUAGUUAUAUUUUUUGAAAAUUUAAACUGGAAUUCCAAUGUUUGUAAAUCCAGGGCCAGUUGUAUCCUUAAGAUUAGGUGAAGUAAUGACAGGAGGGAAAUGCUACACUGCCAUGCAGCUCUGCCUCUCCCUGGCCUGUGAUUUUGAGCAAGUCAUUCCCACAUUCUAAGCCUUCCAUGAUUUCUUCCUGUACCAAUAUGGGUACAAAAUUAGGUAGGUGGGAGCAUCUAGCUCAGGGUCUGAUAUACAGUGAAUAUGAAAUUUACAUAAUUAUCCCCUUGGUCCUGCAGCCCGCAGGCUUCAGAGGCGCCUGUCACCCAGGCUGUGUGGUAUCGUGCUAUUUCUCUAGAGGACCAUCUUCUGUGUUGCUCUCACCCGACUGCCCUGGUGCAGUCCUCCACUGAGGAGGGCCCACAUCAGCAGCAGAGUUGCGGCAGGGGCACUUUGCCCUCACAGUGUAAUACACCAACUGUUUAGUAGUGAUUUUUGCAUUUUUAACAUUCUUUUUUUCAGGCUCUAUAUCAUGGAGAACCUUGAGUUUUGGGCUCCAAAGUCAAAUAGGGAAGCUAUGCUUCAUGGAUUGAAAACAAAAAUGGCUAGGAUGCUGCUUGGGAGCAUAGCUCCAGGCUGAGCCACACCAGAGCUGUCCUGUCCCCUCUGCAAGAGCCCAAGCUCAUGUGUCAUCAUGAUCCUCUGGAGUCAGGAGUCAUCCAGCUCCAGCCCCAGACCAAACAGAUGGAGAUGGAUAUAAGCAAGACUGCAGGGUAAGAUGCUGAGGUUCAGGAAAGGUCAAACCUCGCUAGACGAAUGCUCGGCUCCUCCAGUGUUUAUUUACUUUUACAGCAUUGGCGGCACUUGAUGAGGGGACCAAGACAGGCAGCAGCUGGUUGGGGCUUUUCCUGCCUUUUCCUCUGCUCUAACCAGGACACUCAGCCCUAUUUCCAAUUCCUCAUAAGGAGAAGGAUGUUUUUUGGCCAAAAAGACCUUUUAUACCAGAAUAAAAUAGAGUCAUGUCUUUAAACAGAAGGAAAAAUCAUGUUGCAACUAAGAUUAACUACAUUUUUAAGAUUUCUUACAUAGAUGGACAGCAUAAACUUAUCUGAUAAUUUUACUUUCUUUACCUUCAAGAUUUAGAUUUUAAAAAGCCCUUUUAUACGAAUGAUCAGUCCUCUGACUUAGCCCACUCUUCUCGUGUAUCUCCUACGUGCCGGACCCCAGGCUGCAGGCAGGAGAUUCAAUGUCUCUCUCCUUAAGUAGCUCCAAUGAUGGCAUGUAAGACAGACGUAGCAGAUAGUGCUGCAUUUGAAAGGGAUGAUAUGUCUAAAACACAAAACUACCAACUGCCCAGGGUUUGGGGAAGCUCCCAAAUAGGACUCAAGGACUGAGUUUCAAAGAACAGUAGGCAUUAGAUAAGUGAGGAAAGAGGAAGAGGUGAGGAUAUUAGAAGAAGGGCAGGUACAAAUGCACAAGGAUUUGAGACCAUGGAGUAAGGCAGGUUCAGGGAUGUUCGGGACUCUGGUAUCCAAGGAACACACAGUACAUUUGGAGAGGAUUUCCAUGCCAAGAAGCAUCAUAAAUAUUGACUAUCAUGCCAAAGAACUUGAAGUUUAUCCUGAGGGUGAUGGAAGAUCUAGCUGUAGAAUUUGUAGAAUUUCAAAUAGGCCAAUGCAUUUUAGGACAUGCAUUUUAUGAAGGAGGAGCAUUCAUAUUGCAGUAUCGACCAAAAAACAAGACGUGCUUGAACUAGGGUGAAGGUAGAAAGAAAAUAGGGAAAGGGCAAAUUUGAGAGAUCCUGAGAGUGCUACAUUGACUCAACUCAAUGGAAGGCUGAUUGGGUCAGGCAGUGAUCCUGUCUAGAUCCCUGGUUCAUGGUCUGUUGCACAGUGAAGUGCUUGGAGAACAAGGACAGUUUUGUCAACCCUUGGGGUCCUUGUUCCAUCAUAAUGCUUGGCUCACAGUUGGAACUUAGAAUUUGUUGCAGGGAUCAAGGAAUAUCAGCUGCAGAAAAUAUACGAAGAUCAGGUGGCUAUUUUGAACAUUUUCAUAUCUUGAGGGGAUGAACCAGAAGCAAGGAAGUAACUGUUGACAAAGUGAGACGGUAAGAUUGAGGAACAUUUCCAAGGCCCUGCAGCUGGUAAUCAUAGAAGGAGAAGAUUCAAUUGUAUGUCCUUUGGCUUCAAAUCCAGCAAUCCAGUGAACUUUCAGAAACUAAAAAAAGUGUUAGGGUAGUGUGCGUGUGUGUGUGUGUGUGUGUGUGUGUGUGCUUGUGUGCAUAUUAGAUGCAUUGUCAAUAAUUCAUAAUAAACCAUUUUUUAUGGGGCUUACAUUUAUAAAUUUAUCUUUGAAUCCAUCCUUCGUGUUUGUAUUUAUGCUCAAAUUAGUUUUUUAAAUCAAUGCUCUCAUCAGGCCCAUCCUUGGCCUAAAAACCAUGAAUUGUUUCCCAUGGCCUGAAGAAGGAAGCCCAUAUGAUACAAUGUGGCCAACAGGGCUCUUUGUGAUCUGGUUCUUAACUGACUCUUUCACCCUCACAUUCCAAUGAUUCAUGCAACCCUUCUGAGAAUUAGAAAAGGCACUUUUUCCUCAAGAUAUUGUACUACCUUUUGACAGAAAACUGUAAUAAGUUGAUUUAAAAAAAUAGAUUUGUUGAGACAUAAUUUACUUGCCAAAAAAUUCACCCAUUUUGUACAUCCAAGUGUACAAUGUGAUGAUUUUAGUGAAUUUAUGGAGUUGUGCAACCAUCAGAACAAUCUAAACACGAGUGUUUUACAGUACUUCUGAUACCUUACAAAUAAACCCUGUGCUUGGUGGCAGUAUAUCUCUAUUCACCUUUUCUUGUCAUUUGUUGUAAAAAGAAUUAUAUAACAUGUGGUUUUGUGUUUGACAUCUAGCAAAAUGUUUUAGAGGAUCAUCCAUAUUGUUACAUGCAUCAGUAACCCAUUUCUAUUUUGUUGUUAAAUAGUAUUCCAUUACAUUUCAUUGAAUGUAUAUACCUUAUCUUAUUUUGUUUAUCUAUUCACCAGUUAAUGGACAUUUGGAUUGUUUCCCUUUUUAGCUAUUAUGACUAACGCUACUCUGAUUGUUUGCAUACAAGUUUUGUGUGUUCAUGUUUUCAUUUCUUUUUGGUGUGGAGUACAAUUGCUAGAUCCUAAAUUUAUGUUUAAUGUUUAAAAAAAAUUGUAAACUCUUUUUCCUUGUGGUUGCACCAUUUUUUAUUCCCACCAGCAAUGUUUAAGAGCUUCAGUUUCUCUAUAUCCUCACUAAUACUUGUCAUAAUCCAUCUUUUUAAUUAUAGCCAUCCUAAUGGGUGUGUAGUGAUAUAUCAUUGUGAUUUUGAUUUGCAUUUUCCGAAAGCUAAUGAUGUUGAACAUCAUGUUCUAUUGAUCUGUGUUAAAUCUGCUACCAAUACCACACUGUCUUGAUUAUGUAAUGGUAUGAUAAACCUUAAUAUCAGGAAGAAAGCUUCCUUCACUUUAUUAUUCUUUGUCAAGAUUAUUUUUACUUUCAGGGUCUGUACCUGUUCAUAUACAGUUUUGUUUUUUUUUUUAGCCAGAGUCUUACUCUGUCGCCAGGCUGGAGUGCAGUGGCACGAUCUUGGCUCCCUGCAACCUCUACCUCUCUGGUUAAAGAGAUUCUCCUGCCUUAGCCUCCCAAGUAGCUGGGACUACAGGAGUGCGCCACCAUGCCCAGCUAAUUUUUGUGUUUUUAGUAGAGAUGGGGUUUCACCAUGUUGGUCAGGAUGGUCUUGAUCUCUUGAAUUUGUGAUCCACCUGCCUCGGCCUCCAAAAGUGCUGGGAUUACAGGUGUGAGCCACCGUGCCUGGCCCAUAUACAUUUUAGAAUAAACUUGUCUAUAUGUAUAAAACACUUUGCAAAGAUUUUAAUAGAAAUUGCAUUAAGACUGUAAGCUGAUUUGGGGGGAAUUUUCAUCGUUACUAUACUGAAUUUUCCAAUCCAUGAACAUGGUAUGGUCUUCAUUCAUUUAGGUUUUUUUUGAUUUAUUUCAUCAGCAUUUUGUAGUUUUCAACAUACUAGUCCUGUACAUGUUUGCUAGGUUUACACCUAAGUAUUUCCUUUUUCUUAGCAUUUAUAAAUUGCAUUUUUAUUUCUGUUUCUAUGUGUUUUGUGGAUUUGCACCAUUAUUCAUUCUGUUUUUUGUAUACUCAAAGAUGGGCAUCUUAGUGGGGAGGAGGAGCUGUAAGGAGGCCUGUGCUAAGAGUGGGAAUAUGUGGACUCAGGUCUUGCCUUUCCCUCCUCCUGGCUGGAUCCUGGGCAAGGCACUGAGUCUAAGGUGGGGAUUAAUAUUUACCUCAGCGGAACCAGAACAACUCAAAUUCUAUUUGACAUGUAACUAAUUAUUGGUGCUUCCAUCCUCCUUGGCAGACUUCCUUCCACUUUGAAAUAGAAAUCCACGUGUUCAUCAUAGUGCUUUGAUAUGCCAUUUUAUAAAUGAAAGACAAAGCCCAUAGGGCCUGGUUUAAAAGGAGAAAGCAAAAUAAAAUUAUCUAUAUCUUGACCUGCAUAAUAAAUAAAUACAGAUUUGGAGGUAGACAGUAAUGAAAUGAGGGAUAGAAGAGGAUUAAGCACCAUAGAAGCCCAAGAGACAUUCCAUUCUUGAUGUGAGGAAAGGAACAAAAAAUAGAGGGAUAUCUAGUACUCAGGUUUAAGUGUGUGUGCUUAUUCUCUCCCUCUCUCUCUUUCUGUAUCUCUCUCCCUCUCUUUCUGUCUUUCCCCCUCUCUUUUUCUUGGUGGGCAAAAGAGAAGUGCCACCACCUGCGAGACAAAAGUAGGUAAAACUCCAGUUUUUUAAAAAAUGAAAUUGGAACUAAAUAACAUAAACAACUAAGAAGUGGCAAAAAUCUUAGAAAACGCACAGAAAUCAUACCAACUUACUGUAACUCAUCUAGGACAGAUGACAUGACGUUAAUUGGCAUCUAUGUUUUCUAAGAAAUACAUGAGAAGUGUAGAUGGAAGUGCUCACCUCCACACUUCCUGUUGUGGUGUUGACAUUCAAGGCAGCCUAAAAGUAUAACCCAAUCAUGAGCUGGGUGAUGAGGGCCAGGAGACAAACACUUUGUGACUCAGUUUCCUUAUCUGUAAUACAGAAAAACAUAUACAUCAACUUCACAGGAAUGUGUUGAGAAAUAAAUUAGCACAGUGCCUCACACAUAGUACACAUUUAAAAACUCUUAGCUACAGCUUAUAUUAAAAUUAGAUUCAAGUAUCAGGGACAUAGAUUAUUCUGUUGGGCAUCUUCCAAUUCAUAGAGGAAUGCCUGGCACAUAGCAGGAGCGAGGAAGUGUUCAGAGAAUGGCUUGAAUGAAUUAAUGUGGUCAAUUCCUGCAGUACAUUAAACCCUCAUUAUCUUUGUGGAAUGACUAAAUUCUAUCAUUCUAAGUAGGCAAUUAAGCUGAAUUCUAUAAAUAUUCAUUUAAAAUGUCAAUGGCUGUUUAUACGAGGCAGCCAAAACCCUCUGAAAAUACAGACCUGAGUGAUGAAGAUGGUAAACAUGCUCAGGACUAUCUCAAAUUACCUGCAGAAUAUUGUCCUUAAAAUAGGCUUCUCCCACACUAAACUGCCCUUUCCUUUACACAACCUACCCUGUAUAAAGGUUCCAACAGAAGACACAUUUAAAACAUUGCAGUUAAUUUUAGCCAGACAUCAAUUCUAUUUAAGGGAGACUUUCAUAUGCAUCUUAUUAUUGCCUCUUUGCUGACCAAAUCUUAUUGUCAAAGAUCCCUAUAAUAUAAUCACUUAUAAACAGACUGAAAAAGUGAAGCAAAGUAGCCUGCAAACCCUGAGAUAAGUAAAGUUGCCUAACACAUGCCCUGUCUUUGACAUUUGUUAUUUAGAAGUUCUUUUAAUGGUCAAAAUAUUUGCUUUUCCUUCAGACGCCUUCCAGGAGAGUUUAUCUUAACACACAGAGACUAGCUGGGAUUUUUAAGUGGAGCAAAGAUUAGAGUCAUACAAAGUUGCCUCUGUCUUUUCUCAAACAAUUUUUUGUGUGUGUGUGGGGGAGGGCAUACAAAGCAGCUGUAAUAUCAUUGCAAGAGGCCUGAUCACAGAGCAUAGGAAAUAAAAUGUGGGCUUCAGGUGGCUGUUAGCAAGUCCUUCACCCACGCUGGGCCUUGGUGACUCCCCAGGGGAACCAGAGAGCCUCUGACUUCCCUGUGUCUUGAAGUGCCAGGAGUGUAGAGAGGAGAGAAUGAGGACUGAAAUUUGGCAACUGCUUAUGGUGUGCAAGCCCUCAGCAAAUGUUCAUCAUGUAGUUCUUCAAUUUAAUUUUUAGAGCGCCCUUGUGAAGUAGGUUCUAAUAGAAUGUCCACUUUACAGAUGAGGAGAGAGAUCAGAGGUGCAUUGGUGGUCAACAGGCCUGGAAUCAGCCACAUUAGCACACAGCCAGUGAUUGGGAAGCCAACACCAGAUAGGAAAAAAUUCAAGGAAAAUUGUUCUAUCCUCUCAGAUUCAGUUUUUAAUUAAAGUAAAAUGACCAUAAAAUGCAGGAGCUGCAAUCUGAAUCUCUAAGUGGCUAAGCAUUAUGCCGUUGACAAAUUAACCUGGUUUUUCAUGUUUGAAAAUGAACUUGAGUGAUGCCUUUUUACUUUCCUACAAUAUGAUGCCAAUUAUCACUCUGCCCAAAUAAUAGAAUCUACCAGUUUCCAUUAAAAUGCACUAAUUCAGACUGUUUAUUUUUUUAAGUCUUAAUUGAAGAAAUAGCUCACCUACAGUCAAAUCUUCCUUUCUUCAAGAAGACUAGUUGAAGAAGCUGCCUUUGGGUGAAUCCGUCACAUCUGGCAGUAUUCAUUCUUCAGGCAGAAGAAAGGACAUUGCAUGCUUACCUUAUUCUUCAGAGCCUGAAGUCCUCUAGUACUUUCCCCAAAGCUGCCCAGGUCAGGCUGUUAGAUCACUGAGUAUGGAGUCAGGAAGUUAGGGGCUCCACAGAUCUCAGAGUCAGGGUUCCAAGAUCCUGCCCAUGCUCCAAGCCCAGUAUCCUGCCAACAUCCAACAUUUGCAUGUAGUAAGGCAGCCCUCUGUGGGGAUCAAAGCCAGUUUCUCAUCGGCCGCAAGCCCACUGCAGGUGGUUUCCUGAUCAGCAAGGCGAGUUAACUCUCUCAGGACGUGAGGGCACUUUUGGUCCAUGGCAGUCAUAGAACUAAAAAGAAAAUCUAAACUUUUAAUUUGCCGAUUAAAAAUAGGAGAAAAUAUUUAUGAGACUUUGUCUAUGUCUUCAGAUAAGUUUUAAAAUUGCGUGACCUCUCAAAUCAAAUGCUCAGUUUAAAUGUGAGAGGGAAGACAAGUGCUGGACUGAGAGUAGAAACAUCGCGGUCUGCCACUUGACUUAUAGAUCCACGUGCGUUACCCAUGCUGGGCCUCGGUGACACCCCAGGGGAAUCAGGGAGCCUGUGACUUCCCUGUGUCUGCAAGUGUCAGGGGUGGUGGAGAAGAGAGGAUGAGGCAGCCCCCGACACAGCAGCCCCUCCACAGCACUGAGUGUCAGGAGCGGCUGGUGUGCCAUACCACAGAAUAUGCUUCCCAUGAGCUAUCAAGGAAAACACUUGGGGGAGCAUAAAAUAUCAAACUAGACUUUAGUAUCAUUUUUAUUGGAUUUUAAGUGAAACAGAACCAAAAGAACAAAAUAAAAAAUUACCAAAUUUUUACAAAUCUUUCAAUGAAGAUAUGUCCAUUUCAUGUACUUUAUGAUGCCUGGCUUCAUAACAAAACUAAAAAUAGGAACACACAGCAAGGCCCAGGAUCCCCCCGGUAAAGAUCAGGCUCUUUACCGGGGAGAUCUUGGGCCUCAUUGUGGGUCCCUGCAUGGCCCAGGUAAAGGUCAGGCUCUUGGCCAGGUGCAGUGGCUCAUGCCUGUAAUCCCAGCACUUUGGGAGGCCGAGGUGGGCAGAUCACCUGAGGUCAGGAGUUUGAGACCAGCCUGGCCAACAUGGCAAAACCCUAUCUCUGCUAAAAAUACAAAAAAUUAGCUGGGCGUGGUGGGGCAUGUCUGUAAUCCUAGCUACUAGGGAGGCUGAGGCAGGACAAUUGCUUUAACUGAGGAGGCGGAGGUUGCAGUGAGCCGAGAUUGCACCAUUGCACUGCAGACUGGGUGACAAGAGUGAAACUCCACCUUAAAAAAAAAAAAAAAAAAAAGAUCAGGCUCUUUCUGGACUUAUGAUUUAGGCAUCACGAAGCAACCUCUGGGCCCACAUGUCUACCCAUAACCACAAUUGGAAGAGGGUUUAAUUUAAGACUUAAUGAAGACAAGAGAAAUAGAAAGAAAGAAAGGAAGAAAGGAAGGAAGAAAAAAAGAAGAAAGAGAAAGAAGAAAGAUGAAAGAAAGAAAGAAAGAAAGAAAAGAAUGACCUCAGUGGAACCCCAUGAUCUUGAGUCUUAAAUGUUUAUCUGCACAAUAUGGUCAGCCCAGGCUGAAUCAAUGAACACCUCAUGAUAAGAAGAGGACCUCGAUACCCUGGCCCUCCUUGAGGCCCUGUGGGAGCCCUUUUCCUGUGUGAACCAGAGAUCAGCUUCUGUUGUGGUCCAGGUAUGCGCCUGACAACCCCAAGCUUGUGCAAUAAUUCUGAGAUGCUAUUAGCUUCUUAUAUCUGGGAAACAUCAACAGUUGCUACAGUAAUUCAAAUGUGGACAAAUUGUCAAUAAUAAGAGGGUGGUACCUGCUCUCAGUCACUUCUCAUUUAAUGCCUGCCAUAUGUUUUUGGCUAAAAGGAAAAGCUUUCCAAUCGUGGGAGAUGCCUACUUGCCUCUUGGGGCUCAGAGGCACUGGCUUGGCUUCUGUUCUUGCUGCUGCUCUUGGUGGUGUACUGAUGCUACGGCAGUGACAUCUGCUACUGCUGCCUUCUGCCACGUGCGGCUGUGAGAGUCUGCAUCUGAUGUGCUCUAUGCUGAAUGAGGAUGCUCAAUGCAUUCCAUUUCCUUUCCCUCAAUGCUCUAUUAUAGUGAUAGAUGUAUAUACAAUACACCUAUGUAUUAUAAACCCAACAAUACCAUGUAAUAAUCAUUAGGAAUAUUUUAAGCAAUCUUAUGCUUUCUAAAGCACAUACUUAUGAAGAGAAAAACAUCUACACAUUUUUUCAGUCCGUUGGAUGUACCUGCAUAACUCCUGAUGGUGCUCUUCUUCUCUUUGUGGUUUGGACUGCUGUCUUUCUGGGGUCCUUUCCUUUUCACUUGAAGGACUUCAUUUAGUGUUCCUUCUAGAUGGGUCUGCUAUCUCUGAGCUCUCUCUGUCAUGGUUUGUCUGGGGAUGACUAUAAUUUUCUACUAUGAACAGUGUUGAAAAUAACUAGUGCUUCUACCUCCUCAUGUCUUGGCUCCCUUCCUUUUAUUCUCAGUGAAUGCCACAAGGCAUCUGAGAGCCAGUUUGACCUUCCCGGAGCCCUCCCAUGAGCCCCCCGUUUAUGAGAGUUGCUAGAGCUCAGAGCACUCUGUACUCUCCUCUCCAUUUUCACGAUCAUUCAGUGCUAGUCAAUUUUGUUUUAAUCUAGACUUUCUUGUCCGCCACUUUCCCUGGUGGGCUCCACUGGGCUCCUACUCCCAGAGGCCUUGGCUCAGUGUCUUCUGGCAUUGUCCUGAGUGUCACUGAUUUGUGAGAUUGCAGGAUUCACAGGCAGGGACUGCAGUAGCCCAUCUGAAUGGUAGGGACGUCUCUCAUUUCACCCACAUAUCCGAGCAGGGAACCUCAUUCCUUUGGACUGCUCUUGGCAGGCCUGCACCCCGUUUCUCCAAAGAGAAACUGAUAGAUGGUGGGUUCUCUGCUUCCCAGGCCCUUCAAGAACGCCCUCUCCUCUCUUGUUUCCCUGGCUCAGGGCUCUGCUAUGUUGGACAGUGUCCUCUCCUGCUUCUGUGUCAGGGCUUAUCUGUUUUGCUGGGCACAUAGUCUGUGGUUUUUAGGUUUGCUGUCGAGUCCCACUGGAUGUGUUCUUAGGGGGCCUCCAGGACAUCCAAGAACUUGUCAUUGCUGCUGUUUCCUGUGAUUCUGAUCUGUCCCCAAAAUGUUUUCAGUUCUUAUCUUUGUAUUUUUAUCUAUAUAAUCAAAUAUACAGAUAAAUUGUUUUAUUUUUUUCCAGUCAAACAUUGAUAUUUAAUGUCCCACUAUAUGACAAUAACUUCCUCAACAGUGUUGAAUCAUCAUGGUGGCAUUGGGCAUGUCUCUCUUUCUCUCAUAUUCUUCACAUUAGUGGGAAUCAUCUAAUGUUUCCAAGUUAAGAGCAACAGCUUUGAAAUGGGUAUUCUUCUUUGUGUUAGGCAAAAUGUCAUUUUGUUCCUAGUCUUGAUGUUUGAAUUCUAUUUACUAUUAAUUUAGCAUCUCAAUCACUAUUUUGUGAGACUGGUUCUACAGGUUUUCCUUUCUGGUCUACAUUGGUUAUAGUUUGAUAUCAGGGUUAAGUUUGCUUGGAAAAAUAAGUGUUUUUUGAUGUUCUAUUAUAUUAUGGAAGAGUUUUUAUGUUUUUAAAAAAUAUAGGUGAAUUUAAUGUUUUGAACUCCUAGUGACUAAAAUCACUUUGGAGACUAGAAAUUUCUUCUUGGUCCCCCUUCUUAGUUUCGAUUAUUAUUUCUUCUAGGUCUUUGAGAAUCAUAUAAUUGCAAAUUAUAAAGCUAUUUAGAAUAAUGAGGAAGCACAAGCAUUAUUUCUAUACCCAUAGGGAAUUUAAGCUAAUUCAUAGCCCUGCAAUGCAAGUAUCUGCUUAUGUUACAGAUGAGAAAACUGAGGCUGAGAGAGCUUUAAUGGCUUGCUCAUUAAUGACUUGUUCAUAGAGAACAGUUGAGGAAAACUGGUGCAUGAAGCUGAAUCUUUUGGCUGCAAAACCUGCCCUCGUUUCUCCUGCAUCCAGCCCAGUCC
Molecule: long non-coding RNA, 12636 nt
Organism: Pan troglodytes (chimpanzee)
Lineage: Eukaryota; Metazoa; Chordata; Mammalia; Primates; Hominidae
Exons: 3
Source: RefSeq, a predicted model, not a curated record